GACGAACGCUGGCGGCGUGCUUAACACAUGCAAGUCGAACGGAAAGGCCCUGCUUUUGUGGGGUGCUCGAGUGGCGAACGGGUGAGUAACACGUGAGUAACCUGCCCUUGACUUUGGGAUAACUUCAGGAAACUGGGGCUAAUACCGGAUAGGAGCUCCUGCUGCAUGGUGGGGGUUGGAAAGUUUCGGCGGUUGGGGAUGGACUCGCGGCUUAUCAGCUUGUUGGUGGGGUAGUGGCUUACCAAGGCUUUGACGGGUAGCCGGCCUGAGAGGGUGACCGGCCACAAUGGGACUGAGGAUACGCCCAGGCUCCUACGGGGGGCAGCGGUGGGGAAAUUUGCACAAUGGGGGGAAGCCUGAAGGAGGAACGCCGCGGGCGGGAUGACGGCCUUCGGGGUGUAAACCGCUUUCGCCUGUGACGAAGCGUGAGUGACGGUAAUGGGUAAAGAAGCACCGGCUAACUACGUG
This 468-nucleotide ribosomal RNA is filed under the name uncultured bacterium. RNAcentral describes it as "partial 16S ribosomal RNA". It matches the Rfam family "Bacterial small subunit ribosomal RNA", at positions 28 to 507 of the family's 1533-position model. The record is from RNAcentral.